AGUGAACGCUGGCGGUAGGCCUAACACAUGCAAGUCGAACGGCAGCACAGUAAGAGCUUGCUCUUACGGGUGGCGAGUGGCGGACGGGUGAGGAAUAAAUCGGAAUCUACUUUUUCGUGGGGGAUAACGUAGGGAAACUUACGCUAAUACCGCAUACGACCUACGGGUGAAAGCAGGGGAUCUUCGGACCUUGCGCGAUUGAAUGAGCCGAUGUCGGAUUAGCUAGUUGGCGGGGUAAAGGCCCACCAAGGCGACGCUCCGUAGCUGGUCUGAGAGGAUGAUCAGCCACACUGGAACUGAGACACGGUCCAGACUCCUACGGGAGGCAGCAGUGGGGAAUAUUGGACAAUGGGCGCAAGCCUGAUCCAGCCAUACCGCGUGGGUGAAGAAGGCCUUCGGGUUGUAAAGCCCUUUUGUUGGGAAAGAAAAGCAGCAGGUUAAUACCCCGCUGUUCUGACGGUACCCAAAGAAUAAGCACCGGCUAACUUCGUG
This 492-nucleotide ribosomal RNA is filed under the name uncultured bacterium. RNAcentral's name for it is "partial 16S ribosomal RNA". It matches the Rfam family "Bacterial small subunit ribosomal RNA", at positions 29 to 507 of the family's 1533-position model. The record is from RNAcentral.